AUUGAACGCUGGCGGCAGGCCUAACACAUGCAAGUCGAACGCGAAAGCUCCUUCGGGAGUGAGUAGAGUGGCGAACGGGUGAGUAACGCGUAGGAAUCUACCCAGGAGUGGGGGACAACCCGGGGAAACUCGGGCUAAUACCGCAUACGCCCUACGGGGUAAAGCGGGGGACCUUUCGGGGCCUCGUGCUUCUGGAUGAGCCUGCGUCGGAUUAGCUUGUUGGUGAGGUAACGGCUCACCAAGGCGACGAUCCGUAGCUGGUCUGAGAGGAUGAUCAGCCACACUGGGACUGAGACACGGCCCAGACUCCUACGGGAGGCAGCAGUGGGGAAUAUUGGACAAUGGGCGCAAGCCUGAUCCAGCCAUGCCGCGUGUGUGAAGAAGGCCUUCGGGUUGUAAAGCACUUUCAGUGGGGAAGAAAAGCCUGGGGUUAAUACCCCCGAGUCUUGACGGUACCCACAGAAGAAGCACCGGCUAAUUCCGUG
RNAcentral lists this ribosomal RNA (485 nucleotides) under uncultured bacterium. Its description in RNAcentral is "bacterial SSU rRNA". It matches the Rfam family "Bacterial small subunit ribosomal RNA", at positions 30 to 507 of the family's 1533-position model. The record is from RNAcentral.